UUCCAGGGGUACAACAACAACAACUUUAUUGGCCACAUACGGCUUUAUACUUUUCCCCAUGCAAGGGGUGGAACACACAUGAAGACAAUGUCCCCACCCGGGGGUCAUAUAAGGGAACUGGAACCCCAGACCCUUUAUUCCCUGUUCCUGCCACUCAGUGACCCCUCCCACUCACAAGGGUCUUGUUCCCAGAGGUCUCUGUAUCUGGGGGAGACCUCAGACCUCUUUACCUCCCAGCGACAGAGAGCCUGCCAUCCUUCGCCACUCUCCCCUCUCAGGCACCCUCCUGAAAACAGUAACUACCAUGGACAGUCUUCGUUUCGCUGUCCCUGUGUGAAGUCCGGCAAGGGAAGCGUUGCUUUCGUGAUGUGAAUGUUCCUCCUGGCCGCCGUUCGUCUGUAUGACCGGCGGCCACCCAGAGUAGCACUAAUUUAUUACUUCCCUUGCGGUUUCACACUAUGUUGCCAGUUGCCACCAACUGAUUGGUGUGAAUAUUCGAAUGGGUGCCGGGGAGGUCCUCAUUCGGGAAUCGAACGAGGUAUGAAGCAGUCCGUGAAUGCUUCCCUUGGAUGGCAUUCUUCUAACGAAUAGGCAGCUACCAAGGGUCGGCAUGCGGCAAUGCUUCCCUUGUGGUUUGUGGUUUUGACACCUCAUUGCGAGGUGCGAACGUACUAAAACCACAUUCUAAAUAAGAUUUUGUGGUGGUCCACGUUCGGGCGGUGAAUGGAGUCCCGUUCGCGCUGGUACUCCUGAACGGAGAGCAGGCAGUUCUAUAGUUAUACAAAACACAAGGAACAAAAACACAGGGUCGAGCAAGGGGAAACACACAAAAGAGAUAUCAGUACAGUAACACACAUUUCAGGGCAACCGGGGCAAUUCAUAGUUUAGCGGGGGUUCCGCUACAUUGUGUUAUGUAGAAAACUUUUAAGGUGAGUCUGUGCAAUGUUACUUGUGGGGUGAACCCCUUGAUUGCCCCAACAUAGUGCGGAAUGUACGCAGAUUGAGGAAUGCAAACAGAAAAUCAACGGCAACAUCAGCACAGGUACAGAAGGGCAGCAUAAGGAAAUGUGUCCUUGAGAAAUGCGGGUAAUGUGCUCGGGGUAGCAUGGCGAUGUCAGCCAAUGCCUUGGCAUAGUGGGAGAGUCUCUGGGUAUUGCUGCAUGAGGAAGGUAUGCCAGGGUGUCAUUUCUGCCUCUCAAGGCCUUAGAGUGGGCCUGCGUUAAACAAGGAAUGCCUAUCACAAGGGAUGCCAAUCACAAACAAUUAAUAAAUUACAUUUAAAGGAACACUAUUGUCACCAGAACAACCACAACAUAUUAUAUUUGUUCUGGUGAGUAGAAUCAUUCCCUUCAGGCUUUUUGCAGUAAACACGGUCGUUUCCGAGAAAAGGCAUUGUUUACAUUACAGCCUAGUGAUAACUCCACUGGCCACUCCUCAGAUGGCUACAAGAGGUGCUUCCUUCAGUGUUUCCUCCCUCUGCAUGGAGACACUGAACAUUCCUCAUAAAGAUGCAUUGGCCAGGGAUGUGUUUUGCUUGUGCUGGCUCUGCUCUUGAUCUGCCUCCUUGACAAUCUCAGCCAAUCCUAUGGGAAAUCAUUGUGAUUGGCUCAGAUAAUGUGGGAAAGCAUGGUAAUUGGCUCUGAUAAUGUGGGACAGCAUGGUGCAGGGGCAGACUGACCAGUCGGGCACUUCGGACAUGGUCCGUGGGCCCGACCGGGAGGGGUGCACCCCGCCAGGGCCACCAUCAGGGGGCUUGUCAGCAGGGCUGGAUUGGCCCACCGGGGCCGCUGCAUCUGGGAACUGCGGAAGUAGGUGCCACCGGGUGGCCGGUCCGGUGGCACACUCUGAGGGGGCCGGCUGCGUUCCACGCUGCGAACUGUCAGCCGGGUGGCAGCCUCGCCGGUCCGGCGGCACUCCUGUCACUAAUGCUGAGGACGGAAGGAGGGAGGAGCAUGUCUCUCUCUCAUGCUCCCUUGCGGUUCCCACAUCCUGUGCUGGGAAUUGUGGGAACCGCGAGGGAGCAUGGUAGAGAAACAUGCUCCUCCCUCCUCCUCCUUCACUCCUCAGCAUUAGUGACAGGAGUGCCGCCAGACCGGCGAGGCUGCCACCCGGCUCAGAGCGUGGAACGGGGCCACCCCCAUCUGUCUUCUCUUGGUAAAUGGGAGGGGGGGAAAUAAAACAGAGAGGGGGAAUAGAUAGAGGCAGGGGAAGAAACAAACAGUGGGAGAAUAGAGAGACACACAGGGGGAGGGUAAGGGAAGAGACAGAGGGGGAGAGAGAGUGACACAGGGCAAGGAGGGAGAAAGACAGAGGAGGAAGAGUGAAACACAGGGGGAGAAAGAGGGGGAAUAGAGAGAUGGUGGAGUGGGGAGAAAGAGACAGAGGGUAAGAGAGAUGUGGGGUAGAGACAGACACAGGGAAAGGGGGAAGAAAUAGACAGUGGAAGAGAGACACAGGAAGAAAGGAGAGAGACACCAGGGGAGGGGGAGAAAGAGGCAGAGGGGGAAGAGAGACUGGGAAGGAGAGGGGAGACAUGGACACAGAGGAACAGUGAGGGGGGAGAAAGAAACAUACAGAGAGACUGGGGGAGACACAAAGGCACACAGAGGGGCUGUAUAUAUCACUGGUGGAUCCCCCCCGCCCCCGGCCGAUCUCUCUACCCGGUCUGCAGGCACUGUGCGGGCAGCUGGCAGCGGAGGGCGGAAGAGAGGACCCGGGAGCUCAGCCUGCAGCUCCUCUGGUUCCUUCUCGCGCGAGCACAGAGCGUUGCCGCGAUUACCACGGCAACGCUUCGGCUCUUGCGAGAGUGACCUCUAGCCCUGGAGCUACGGGCUAAAGUUUACUCUCAACACUGCGACCAUCAGGGAUUCCUGGUGGUCACAGUAGUGAGAGUGAACUCUAGCCCCAUACACACACUGCCCCCCCACACACACA
Molecule: non-coding RNA, 2934 nt
Organism: Pelobates cultripes (western spadefoot toad)
Lineage: Eukaryota; Metazoa; Chordata; Amphibia; Anura; Pelobatidae
Source: the annotation of a GenBank genome assembly